GGCUGGUCUGAAGGUAGUGAAUUAUCUCAAUCGAUUGUUCACAGUCAGUUACAGAUCGAACUCCUUGUUCUACUCUUUCCCCCUUCUCACUACUGCACUUAACUAGUCUUAA
RNAcentral lists this Y RNA (112 nucleotides) under Propithecus coquereli (Coquerel's sifaka). RNAcentral describes it as "Y RNA (ENSPCOG00000004933.1)". It matches the Rfam family "Y RNA". From Rfam's summary of the family: Y RNAs are components of the Ro ribonucleoprotein particle (Ro RNP), in association with Ro60 and La proteins. The Y RNAs and Ro60 and La proteins are well conserved, but the function of the Ro RNP is not known. The record is from Rfam by way of RNAcentral. Lineage: Eukaryota; Metazoa; Chordata; Mammalia; Primates; Indriidae.